UGGCGAACGGGUGAGUAUCACGUGAGGAACCUGCCCUGAACUUUGGGAUAAGCCUGGGAAACUGGGUCUAAUACCGGAUAGGACUGACCAUCGCAUGGUGGUUGGUGGAAAGCUUUUGCGGUUUGGGAUGGUCUCGCGGCCUAUCAGCUUGUUGGUGGGGUAAUGGCCUACCAAGGCUUUGACGGGUAGCCGGCCUGAGAGGGUGACCGGCCACACUGGGACUGAGACACGGCCCAGACUCCUACGGGAGGCAGCAGUGGGGGAUAUUGCACAAUGGGGGAAACCCUGAUGCAGCGACGCCGCGUGAGGGAUGACGGCCUUCGGGUUGUAAACCUCUUUCAGUUGGGAAGAAGCCCUUCGGGGUGACGGUACCUUCAGAAGAAGCACCGGCUAACUACGUGCCAGCAGCCGCGGUAAUACGUAGGGUGCGAGCGUUAUCCGGAAUUAUUGGGCGUAAA
RNAcentral lists this ribosomal RNA (458 nucleotides) under uncultured bacterium. Its description in RNAcentral is "bacterial SSU rRNA". It matches the Rfam family "Bacterial small subunit ribosomal RNA", at positions 96 to 564 of the family's 1533-position model. The record is from RNAcentral.